AAAGUCUUCGUGUGCCCGGCACCCAGUGUGGGAUGUGCUUCGUAGAGGUCUGGUAAACUUGAAAUGAAUGGCUGCUUGAGGGAUCCUGGCUUCUGACAUUAAUGCCAUAAAACAUUGCACCGACUGAGAUACAAUGCUGCCAGUACAGACCAAGGCCCAGGACACAGCCGUGUGCCUCUGCAUAACCCACUGUGACGUGCGUAGUGAACGCUUUUGUGUCUCCGUGUCAUCCUGCUGUCUUGCCGGGGCUCUUAGCUCAACCAUGUAUCUGCGAGGCUCCUCUAGUUGGCAUAUGGGAGGCCACCUUGACCACUCUCCAUACUGUUUGGGUUCUAUGGUAUGAAGACACUCUACAAGGUGGGCCACUUCCAAACAGUUGAAGGCCUGAGUAGCACAAGAGUAGCCUUUACCUACCAAACAAGAGAGAAGUCUCCAGCAGAUGGACUUUGGACUACAUCUACACCUUCGGCUCUUGACAGCCUGCAGACCAGACCCGCCUCAUCAGCUCUUCCUGGAGCCCCAGCCUGCCCACCCACGUUGCAGAUUUUGGACUUACCGACCUCUCUAAACCAUGAGCCUAUUCCUUAUAAUACAUUUUUUUCUCUCUCUCUAUAUAUAUCCUAUUGAUUCUGUUUCUCGGGAGGAGGCCUACUACAGCCUGCUUCCUGCCAGAGCCUGGGUUGGUGCCCGCAUCCAUGCCCCCCGGCCAGGAGAGAGAGAGGCCUUGUACCCACUGUA
This is a long non-coding RNA of Lutra lutra (Eurasian river otter), 738 nucleotides long. RefSeq lists it as uncharacterized. The transcript has 4 exons. The record is from RefSeq and is a predicted model, not a curated record. NCBI's taxonomy places the organism in Eukaryota, Metazoa, Chordata, Mammalia, Carnivora, Mustelidae.